This is a long non-coding RNA of Myotis lucifugus (little brown bat), 347 nucleotides long. RefSeq lists it as uncharacterized. Lineage: Eukaryota; Metazoa; Chordata; Mammalia; Chiroptera; Vespertilionidae. The transcript is spliced from 2 exons. The record is from RefSeq and is a predicted model, not a curated record.
CUUCUCCAAGUAUGGAAAGUCAUAUUCAAAAGCUGGACAGAUUUUAUAAAGACAAUAAAAGAAGACAAAGUGUAAAAUGAGGUUCAGGUGUGACGUGGUUGUGGAGUAGAAGACGCCACCGCCUGGCUGAGUCACCUGGACACAGUGUGUCAGCCUUUGAAAUCUCUGUCUUUCUGUCUGUUUUCCUCCCUCCCUCCCUCCUUAUCAUCUGUUCAAAGAAGAAAUGGGAACCCUCUAUUCAUUCAAAAACUCUCCAGUUCUUAAAGGAAAAUGCACAUGAGGAUCCUACAGAAACCACAACAUAAACCAUACUUCUUAAGAUUCAAUAAACUCUAGUAUUUGACAGA